UACAUGUAGGUAAUUUAUUUAAAAUACAUAAGUAAAAUAUAUAAAUGGUUAAAUACAUUAAUUAUUUAAACUAAACAUGGAUUUUGUUUCAGGCAAUUCAUUGACAUUGUGCAUUUGGCAAUAUCUGACAUAGUGACAUGUCAGUUAUUUUCUCUGCAUCCGAAAAUUCUGUUUUUAACCAUUAUAAUGCGCUAAGAGUAUGGAAUGUUGAAUGUAUCAUGUAUGAAAGUAUUUAAAAAACACCCCAUGUAUUUAUUAAUACCAGAUGAUCUACCUAGAACCUAGCAAUACGUAUAACUAAAAGUAUGUUAUAGUUUUACCAUAAGAAUUAGACAAAACUAUUUUGCUUAUUAUUUUUCUAAAGACAGCUUUACAAAUAAAAUACAAUACAUUAUGGAUUCAGUUAUUCAAAAGAAUAAUUAUUUAUAUUUUACAUGUUUAACAUUUAGGUAAUGAAUUAAGAGGUCUUAACACCCGCAUGUGUUGUCUCCGUCUUACAAGUACGUAACAUAGCAAAUUAAUGCUCAGCAGAUCACGUUUAGCUCCGUCAGUUUAAAAAUUAGAGUUAAUCGACCUAUUAUGAAACUUUAUGGUAAGAACAUUAUAUGUGUAAAUGUGUUUGUAUGUUGGUUUCUUACGAUUAUUAAGUUUUUAAGUGAGUUAUGAGCAUUUUUAAUUUACACUAUGUUAUAUACGCAUAACUUGCUAAAAAAUUGAACUAUCGUAAAAAACCAAUAUACAAACACGGAUAAUGUUCUUACCUUCAAGUUUCAUAAUAGUUCGAUUUACUCUAAUUUUUAAACUGACAGAGCUAAACAUGAUCUAGCGUAAAUUUGCCAUGUUACGUACUUGUAAGACGGAGACAACACAUGCGGGUGUUACGGCCUCUUAAGAACUUAGUUUUUAAUUUUGAUGAUAAAGCACUUUUUUAAAACUUAAUUUCUAAGGUUGUAACUGUAAUAAAUAUUGUUCAUUAGUAGUGAAGGAACUCUUUAGUAUAGGUACUGAUUAACUGAUCAGAACUAAUAAAGUUUUGUUGUAAUAUUAUUAAAAUAAAUAAAAGUACCUAACUUACAGUGUGCGACAGGUAACUUUCAAUAAUUUAGAGGCAACAGUCGACAGAUAUCAAUUUAUUAAUAUAGGUCUACAAAAAAUAACAAUGCAAUUGUUUAAAUUAUAGUUACAUACAAUAUAUAUGUAUAAUAAUAAUUAAUUUAUUUGCUGAAAAAUUGUUCUCAAUUCCGUGGUCGGCAUGGUCAUAGUUUGUCAAUUAUGAUACAAUGAUUGAAUUAUAUAAUGUCAAUGUUUGUGCGUUUUUAGCUUUAAUUUAGAAAAAUCUUCUUAAUUAAUUUUUUUUUUUAAUAAGAUGUAGUUUCAGUUGACCAAUUUUUAGUAAAUAAUGAUUGAUAUUGGUA
Rhopalosiphum padi (bird cherry-oat aphid) is the source of this 1415-nucleotide long non-coding RNA. RefSeq lists it as uncharacterized. NCBI's taxonomy places the organism in Eukaryota, Metazoa, Arthropoda, Insecta, Hemiptera, Aphididae. The record is from RefSeq and is a predicted model, not a curated record. The transcript has 2 exons.